GACUUCGGUUUGUAGCGAUGUCCCUAACCAAGAUAAAACUUUGUUUCAUACUCUCUUACUAAAAGGACAUGAAAAGAAAAGAUGUUUUUCGUCCUCAGCUUGUUGUAAACAAAAGACGCAUGAUAAUUCAUGAUGAUUAGUCAAAAUACCACGGUGAUGAAGAGCUGCUCUAGUUGGUAAUCUGUUUAAUAAUAACCUCCAACCGAAAACAUUUACUUUCGAAGGAACAUCC
This 232-nucleotide long non-coding RNA is filed under the name Trifolium pratense (red clover). RNAcentral describes it as "long non-coding RNA (TPRA_LNC014244)". Lineage: Eukaryota; Viridiplantae; Streptophyta; Magnoliopsida; Fabales; Fabaceae. The record is from RNAcentral.